CUAAUAUAGUAAAUUAGUAAUAACUCAAAUAUUGAUAAAACAAAACACAAAAAUGUUAGUGCUUGCAUGUUCAUCUUUUGGGGAGCCGAAUGUUGGAGAAGAAAAGCUUUGAAAUUUCGGCAAUUUGAGAUCAAAAUUCAAGGAGGCUGAUGCAUAAAACAGAGUUUACUUCAGACUUCACAGGAUUUAAGAAAGAUGGGGCACAAUGGUUGGUUGAUAACACAGACAUCAAACUUGUAGAUCAAGAAAUACAAAAUCUGAGCCUAGACCGGGAGAAGGCCAAGCAAGUAGAUUAAAUUCAACUAGUCGCCCACUUUUUGUAUACCGAGUGCCGCCAAGCUAGUAUCAAGGAUCAAGGGACGUCGGAGGCAUCGAUCACACUAUCACCUGAAGCUUUGGUAUAGCUAGCUUAAUAUUUUGAUUGUGGCAUGUAUAGCGACUUGAAUCUUUUGUUUAGUGCCUUUUUAGUUUAGCCACAAGUGUUGGCUCAUAUGAUGGAUGCGAUAUUCAUUUUGUAUAGGCCAUUAAUGUUGGCUAAUAUUGAUUAUUAUUAAAUGCAUUUGAUGCAAAUUUCUCA
This is a long non-coding RNA of Gossypium arboreum, 577 nucleotides long. RefSeq lists it as uncharacterized. The record is from RefSeq and is a predicted model, not a curated record. The transcript is spliced from 4 exons. NCBI's taxonomy places the organism in Eukaryota, Viridiplantae, Streptophyta, Magnoliopsida, Malvales, Malvaceae.